GAAAGAAUAAUGACGGUACCUGAUGAAUAAGCACCGGCUAACUCCGUGCCAGCAGCCGCGGUAAUACGGGGGGUGCAAGCGUUACUCGGAAUCACUGGGCGUAAAGGACGCGUAGGCGGAUUAUCAAGUCUUUUGUGAAAUCUAGUGGCUUAACCACUAAACUGCUUAGGAAACUGAUAGUCUAGAGUAGGGGAGAGGUAGAUGGAAUUCUUGGUGUAGGGGUAAAAUCCGUAGAGAUCAAGAAGAAUACCCAUUGCGAAAGCGAUCUGCUGGAACCUAACUGACGCUGAGGCGUGAAAGCGUGGGUAGCAAACAGGAUUAGAUACCCUGGUAGUCCACGCCCUAAACGAUGUAUACUAGUUGUUGCUUUGCUAGUCAAGGCAGUAAUGCAGCUAACGCAUUAAGUAUACCGCCUGGGGAGUACGGUCGCAAGAUUAAAACUCAAAGGAAUAGACGGGGACCCGCACAAGCGGUGGAGCAUGUGGUUUAAUUCGAAGAUACGCGAAGAACCUUACCUGGACUUGACAUCCUAAAAACAUCUAAGAGAUUAGAAAGUGCUAGUUUACUAGAAUUUAGUGACAGGUGCUGCACGGCUGUCGUCAGCUCGUGUCGUGAGAUGUUGGGUUAAGUCCCGCAACGAGCGCAACCCACGUGUUUAGUUGCUAACAGCUCGGCUGAGCACUCUAAACAGACUGCCUUCGUAAGGAGGAGGAAGGUGUGGACGACGUCAAGU
This 733-nucleotide ribosomal RNA is filed under the name uncultured Campylobacter sp. RNAcentral's name for it is "bacterial SSU rRNA". It matches the Rfam family "Bacterial small subunit ribosomal RNA", at positions 443 to 1190 of the family's 1533-position model. The record is from RNAcentral. Lineage: Bacteria; Pseudomonadati; Campylobacterota; Epsilonproteobacteria; Campylobacterales; Campylobacteraceae.